CUUACUUUAGAAAAUAGUGCCUAUAAAGUGAUACUAAAUUCUUUUCCAUUUAAGACGUGCACCAGGAUGUGAAGGAGGAGAGAACAUGAUUCUGGCUGGGGAAGAAACCCUCAAGAACUUCCGGCUGACAUGCAGCUGUGAAAUUGAGUGUGCACCCAGCUCAACCUCCACGGACAGA
RNAcentral lists this long non-coding RNA (178 nucleotides) under Chinchilla lanigera (long-tailed chinchilla). RNAcentral describes it as "lncRNA (ENSCLAG00000028039.1)". The record is from RNAcentral. Lineage: Eukaryota; Metazoa; Chordata; Mammalia; Rodentia; Chinchillidae.